Long non-coding RNA from Pecten maximus, 2221 nucleotides. RefSeq lists it as uncharacterized. The transcript is spliced from 3 exons. Lineage: Eukaryota; Metazoa; Mollusca; Bivalvia; Pectinida; Pectinidae. The record is from RefSeq and is a predicted model, not a curated record.
CACAAUGUAUAUUUAUAGCUCGGAUAUUUAUCAUGGGAAAAUUAUUAGCUACAUAUGAUAUGGAUGAUUAUUGCUGCUUCUACAUGCUUUUGUCAUAUUCCUUAUCUAUAUACGACUGCCUUUAAUAUAAGAAUGACCAAUUGCUGUGCAAUAUUUAUUAUGAAAGUAUUAAUCGGGCCUCAAAGCGAAUCGACAUUUGUGACGUCAUUCUGAAUGUAGUGAAACACAUUGGUGCUGCAGGAGCACACACCAACUUUUAGUUUGGAGAACGGACUAAUUCGGCGAAUAUGUAAAACUUCAGCCAAGCACAUUUAUUUAACAGACAUCUUAUGUCUACAAUGGCUAUAUACACAGGUCGAUAUCGAGACAAAAUGUUUUGAUGUCCAAAAACGUUCCUAGUACCAGUCGCUACAGUAAAACUUAACAUCACUGCACCUUAUCAUCACUAGACGGACCAUAAGUCAGAAGGAAACCAGCGUGAAACCUUUGAUAAUACAUAAUUGUACCUGUUCAGGUGGUGUGGAAGAUCACAGGUUCAUUUGACAUGGGGUAUAAAUGAUAUUUGACUGUGAAUUAAAACAAACGUAAUGCGUCAUGGGAAUGGAAUCUCUCAGCCUCAUUUUGAUGAUUCCAUUUGGUGUAUGUUUCUUUCUCUUAUUCAUUGUGUGCUGUUUUGCUGACGAGAUCAAACAAAUGUGCAGGAUGCCCAAUCAACUCCCAUUGUAUUACGUAGGUGGUGACAUCCAGCAUACAAAUAUACGUACCCGGCGCUCACGAUCCCAUCGAGAACGAAGUCCCAACAGUAGAUUCAACCAAAUCCACAGCAUGGGAGAUUCAGAAAACUUAUUGACGGGGGAAGGAAGAAGUAGAAACAGUUCAGGAGAUUCAAUAGAGAUAACGACAUCUUCUCUUAAUCAUACACAGUCAUCACCACAGAUUAACUUCUUAACCGUCGUGACGUCACAAGCAAACGGUCAAAUUACCAGAUCCGUUGUGGAAACGAACAGUUUAUUAUCAUCUUCCCAGAAUUUGAACUUUGGACCUAUGAGUGUUUCACAGACUGACUUAACACAACAAGCCAUCACGUAAACGGCUAAAACAUAUCAUAUUUACUCUACGCAAUAGCUUUUAAAUUUUGUUUUACGGUAUACAUGUAGUAUAAGUUGUACAUACAUUGUAUCAUCCAUAUGUGUGACGUUCUUCACACUCAUUCCUCUAUUCUGUUAAAAUGGGGAAUGUUGUAAUGAUAUUUAGUUUUUUGCUAUUGUUUUUCGAUUAUACCGGUAUUUUGAUUUUUUUUCGAACCUGAUCAUGAUGGCUUUAAUUAUUCAGGAAGAGAAACUUAAACUUUAUAUUCAGAGGUCUGACUGAUAUAGGAAUAAUAAACAUAUAAGAACCCCAUCAUCAACAACAUGGAAUAACGGCACAAUUAGAAAACCGUAAUUCUAACUAAAAAUCGAUAUAACGAAGGCAAAAUAUGAAAAAAAAAAAACCAGGAACAAAAAACUGUUUUGCAUGAAGACCCUUUAAAUGUAGACAUCUAAUCAAUUGUACUCGGGGUUCAGAUAGUUUUAUCAUUUAAAACCCUUCAUAACUUUAGUCAAUCAUAUGAUACUAGAUUUAUAUCAACACCUUACAUAUCCUUAUUGUUAUUUUUUAGUAUUGUUAUCGUUUUUAUUUGUUUGAUAGAUUAAAUGAUCAAUAUGCCCGAUUUGAUGUAUAGAAUUCAGUUUACCUUACCUGUAUACGCUUACUUCAUUUCCUAAUCGAAGAUAUAUAUAUAGACAUGUGCGAUAUUUUAUUUUUUCUUACCCUAGACUUGGAUAUCCAUAAUUUCACCGAUGUGAGAUUAUAUUUUCUCUUACCCUUGACAGGGAUAUCAACAAUUUUACUGGUGUGAAAAUUUCAAAUCUCGCCCUAGUUUGAGGCAAGCUACGUGUGCUCUUUGCACACUCUAAACAAUGGCAUUUCGUCAUGUCAACAAUAGCAUGACGUCACAGCGACAAUAAAAAGACGCCAAGUCGACAAUUCAAUCACUUUAUCUCAACAUCUUCUUACAUUGAUGUAAUCCAUAUCUUAGAUUUAUAAGAGGGUAAACAGGGUAAGAAGAUGUAAUCCCUAUCUUAGAUUUAUAAGAGGGUAAACAGGGUAAGAAGAUGUAAUCCAUAUCUUAGAUUUAUAAGAGGGUAAACAGGGUAAGAAGAUGUAAUCCAUAUCAUAG